This 481-nucleotide ribosomal RNA is filed under the name uncultured bacterium. RNAcentral's name for it is "partial 16S ribosomal RNA". It matches the Rfam family "Bacterial small subunit ribosomal RNA", at positions 28 to 507 of the family's 1533-position model. The record is from RNAcentral.
GAUGAACGCUGGCGGCGUGCUUAACACAUGCAAGUCGAACGAAGCACUUUAUUUGAUUUCCUUCGGGACUGAUUAUUUUGUGACUGAGUGGCGGACGGGUGAGUAACGCGUGGGUAACCUGCCUUGUACAGGGGGAUAACAGUUGGAAACGGCUGCUAAUACCGCAUAAGCGCACAGCAUCGCAUGAUGCAGUGUGAAAAACUCCGGUGGUAUAAGAUGGACCCGCGUUGGAUUAGCUAGUUGGUGAGGUAACGGCCCACCAAGGCGACGAUCCAUAGCCGACCUGAGAGGGUGACCGGCCACAUUGGGACUGAGACACGGCCCAAACUCCUACGGGAGGCAGCAGUGGGGAAUAUUGCACAAUGGGCGAAAGCCAGAUGCAGCGACGCUGCGUGAGCGAAGAAGUAUUUCGGUAUGUAAAGCUCUAUCAGCAGGGAAGAUAAUGACGGUACCUGACUAAGAAGCACCGGCUAAAUACGUG